Molecule: ribosomal RNA, 253 nt
Filed under: uncultured bacterium
Lineage: Bacteria
Description: partial 16S ribosomal RNA
Rfam family: Bacterial small subunit ribosomal RNA
Source: RNAcentral
UACAGAGGGUGCAAGUGUUGUUCGGAAUCAUUGGGCGUAAAGGGCGCGUAGGCGGCAGGAUAAGUCAGAUGUGAAAGCCCUGGGCUUAACCCAGGAAAUGCAUUUGAAACUAUCUUGCUUGAGUGCGGGAGAGGGUAGUGGAAUUCCCGGUGUAGAGGUGAAAUUCGUAGAGAUCGGGAGGAACACCAGUGGCGAAAGCGGCUACCUGGUCCGCAACUGACGCUGAGGCGCGAAAGCGUGGGGAGCAAACAGG